RNAcentral lists this ribosomal RNA (253 nucleotides) under uncultured bacterium. Its description in RNAcentral is "partial 16S ribosomal RNA". It matches the Rfam family "Bacterial small subunit ribosomal RNA", at positions 524 to 776 of the family's 1533-position model. The record is from RNAcentral.
UACGGAGGGAGCUAGCGUUGUUCGGAAUUACUGGGCGUAAAGCGCACGUAGGCGGCUUUGUAAGUUAGAGGUGAAAGCCCGGGGCUCAACUCCGGAACUGCCUUUAAGACUGCAUCGCUUGAAUCCAGGAGAGGUGAGUGGAAUUCCGAGUGUAGAGGUGAAAUUCGUAGAUAUCAGGAGGAACACCGGUGGCGAAAGCGGCUUCCUGGCCCGACACUGACGCUCAUGUACGAAAGCGUGGGGAGCAAACAGG